UGGGGAAUAUUGCACAAUGGGGGGAACCCUGAUGCAGCCAUGCCGCGUGUGUGAAGAAGGCCUUCGGGUUGUAAAGCACUUUCAGGUGUUAGGAAAGGUUGUUGGUUACUACCCAACGGCUGUGACGUUAACACAAGAAGAAGCACCGGCUAACUCGGUGCCAGCAGCCGCGGUAAUACGGAGGGUGCGAGCGUUAAUCGGAAUUACUGGGCGUAAAGCGCACGCAGGCGGAAUGUUAAGCUAGAUGUGAAAGCCCAGCGCUCAACGUUGGACGGUCAUUUAGAACUGGCAUUCUAGAGUUUUGGAGAGGGGAGUGGAAUUCCACGUGUAGCGGUGAAAUGCGUAGAUAUGUGGAGGAACAUCAGUGGCGAAGGCGACUCUCUGGCCAAAGACUGACGCUCAUGUGCGAAAGUGUGGGUAGCGAACAGGAUUAGAUACCCCCGUAGUCC
RNAcentral lists this ribosomal RNA (449 nucleotides) under uncultured prokaryote. Its description in RNAcentral is "bacterial SSU rRNA". It matches the Rfam family "Bacterial small subunit ribosomal RNA", at positions 355 to 796 of the family's 1533-position model. The record is from RNAcentral.